Molecule: long non-coding RNA, 545 nt
Organism: Miniopterus natalensis
Lineage: Eukaryota; Metazoa; Chordata; Mammalia; Chiroptera; Miniopteridae
Source: RefSeq, a predicted model, not a curated record
GUGCAGUGGGAAAGGCGAGAAACUGACCUCUCCAGGAUGCAGACGAGUACAGCACACACACCCUUCCGGCCUCAGCUUUAAAAGUUCCCUGUCUGGCUGCAACAGUGGAAAUAGUGAAAAUACAUAUUGUGAGACAGGGCGUCAAUCUGGAACAAAGAGGAAUACCUGAUUCUGGAGGUCCUAAGAGCGACUAAGCAUCCCCACCCCCACCUGCAUUCCAUGGGCCUCAACCUCUGGGGAAGAAAAUACCUCCCAAGGUCUGCUGCAAUAAGAGGUGUGUACCACAAUUCUAGAAUCUCAUCCACUCGUCUCCCACCACCCUUCAUUCAAGAGCCUCGUUCUGUUUUUUAAUACUCUGAGGGAGAAAAAGCAGUUCCACGCUCCAAGAGUCCUGGUGCCCAAUCUAUCUUCCACCCGUCCAUCAUCCCAAAGAUGUGGGAUCUAGGAUGUGACUGUCUUGCCUCUGGGCUGAGGAAAAGUCUCCAGGAGACAGACACUGUACGUGAAGAGAUAGCAGCUACAAAGCAGAUGGAAUGGAUAGGUCU